This 1470-nucleotide ribosomal RNA is filed under the name metagenome. Its description in RNAcentral is "bacterial SSU rRNA". It matches the Rfam family "Bacterial small subunit ribosomal RNA". The record is from RNAcentral.
AGAGUUUGAUCCUGGCUCAGGACGAACGCUGGCGGCACGCUUAACACAUGCAAGUCGAACGAGAGAAGAGGAGCUUGCUUUUCUGAUCUAGUGGCGGACGGGUGAGUAACACGUGAGCAAUCUGCCUUUCAGAGGGGGAUACCGAUUGGAAACGAUCGUUAAUACCGCAUAACAUAAUUGAACCGCAUGAUUUGAUUAUCAAAGAUUUAUCGCUGAAAGAUGAGCUCGCGUCUGAUUAGCUAGUUGGUAAGGUAACGGCUUACCAAGGCGACGAUCAGUAGCCGGACUGAGAGGUUGAUCGGCCACAUUGGGACUGAGACACGGCCCAGACUCCUACGGGAGGCAGCAGUGGGGAAUAUUGCACAACGGAGGAAACUCUGAUGCAGCUAUGCCGCGUGAGGGAAGAAGGUUUUAGGAUUGUAAACCUCUGUCUUCAGGGACGAAAAAAGACGGUACCUGAGGAGGAAGCUCCGGCUAACUACGUGCCAGCAGCCGCGGUAAUACGUAGGGAGCGAGCGUUGUCCGGAAUUACUGGGUGUAUAGGGAGCGUAGGCGGGAUCGCAAGUCAGAUGUGAAAACUAUGGGCUUAACCCAUAAACUGCAUUUGAAACUGUGGUUCUUGAGUGAAGUAGAGGUAAGCGGAAUUCCUAGUGUAGCGGUGAAAUGCGUAGAUAUUAGGAGGAACAUCAGUGGCGAAGGCGGCUUACUGGGCUUUAACUGACGCUGAGGCUCGAAAGCGUGGGGAGCAAACAGGAUUAGAUACCCUGGUAGUCCACGCCGUAAACGAUGAUUACUAGGUGUGGGGGGACUGACCCCUUCCGUGCCGCAGCAAACGCAAUAAGUAAUCCACCUGGGGAGUACGACCGCAAGGUUGAAACUCAAAGGAAUUGACGGGGGCCCGCACAAGCAGUGGAGUAUGUGGAUUAAUUCGAAGCAACGCGAAGAACCUUACCAGGUCUUGACAUCGUAUGCAUAGCUCAGAGAUGAGUGAAAUCUCUUCGGAGACAUAUAGACAGGUGGUGCAUGGUUGUCGUCAGCUCGUGUCGUGAGAUGUUGGGUUAAGUCCCGCAACGAGCGCAACCCUUACUGUUAGUUGCUACGCAAGAGCACUCUAGCAGGACUGCCGUUGACAAAACGGAGGAAGGUGGGGAUGACGUCAAAUCAUCAUGCCCCUUAUGACCUGGGCCUCACACGUACUACAAUGGCUGUCAACAGAGGGAAGCAAAGCCGCGAGGUGGAGCGAACCCCUAAAAGCAGUCUUAGUUCGGAUUGUAGGCUGCAACCCGCCUACAUGAAGUCGGAAUUGCUAGUAAUCGCAGAUCAGCAUGCUGCGGUGAAUACGUUCCCGGGCCUUGUACACACCGCCCGUCACGCCAUGGGAGUCGGUAACACCUGAAGCCUGUAGUCUAACCGCAAGGAGGACGCAGUCGAAGGUGGGAUUGAUGACUGGGGUGAAGUCGUAACAAGGUA